Molecule: ribosomal RNA, 784 nt
Filed under: uncultured bacterium
Lineage: Bacteria
Description: bacterial SSU rRNA
Rfam family: Bacterial small subunit ribosomal RNA
Source: RNAcentral
CGAGCGAGCUUGCCUAGAUGAUUUUAGUGCUUGCACUAAAUGAAACUAGAUACAAGCGAGCGGCGGACGGGUGAGUAACACGUGGGUAACCUGCCCAAGAGACUGGGAUAACACCUGGAAACAGAUGCUAAUACCGGAUAACAACACUAGACGCAUGUCUAGAGUUUGAAAGAUGGUUCUGCUAUCACUCUUGGAUGGACCUGCGGUGCAUUAGCUAGUUGGUAAGGUAACGGCUUACCAAGGCAAUGAUGCAUAGCCGAGUUGAGAGACUGAUCGGCCACAUUGGGACUGAGACACGGCCCAAACUCCUACGGGAGGCAGCAGUAGGGAAUCUUCCACAAUGGACGAAAGUCUGAUGGAGCAACGCCGCGUGAGUGAAGAAGGGUUUCGGCUCGUAAAGCUCUGUUGGUAGUGAAGAAAGAUAGAGGUAGUAACUGGCCUUUAUUUGACGGUAAUUACUUAGAAAGUCACGGCUAACUACGUGCCAGCAGCCGCGGUAAUACGUAGGUGGCAAGCGUUGUCCAGAUUUAUUGGGCGUAAAGCGAGUGCAGGCGGUUCAAUAAGUCUGAUGUGAAAGCCUUCGGCUCAACCGGAGAAUUGCAUCAGAAACUGUUGAACUUGAGUGCAGAAGAGGAGAGUGGAACUCCAUGUGUAGCGGUGGAAUGCGUAGAUAUAUGGAAGAACACCAGUGGCGAAGGCGGCUCUCUGGUCUGCAACUGACGCUGAGGCUCGAAAGCAUGGGUAGCGAACAGGAUUAGAUACCCUGGUAGUCCAUGCCGUAAAC